Oreochromis niloticus (Nile tilapia) is the source of this 3871-nucleotide long non-coding RNA. RefSeq lists it as uncharacterized. Lineage: Eukaryota; Metazoa; Chordata; Actinopteri; Cichliformes; Cichlidae. The transcript has 2 exons. The record is from RefSeq and is a predicted model, not a curated record.
GGACUGAUCCCCGGCUACCAAGACUAACUUUAAACAGUGCUAAAAAAAAUCUUACUGUUUUGACAACAUUCACUUCACAUUUAUCAAGAUAUCAUAGAGGAAAGACACAGCAUAGUCUGAUAGAAGCUAUCAUUCGAGGAGCCAGACACUUGUCAAGGGAGCACUGAGGAGGCUAUUAUUCUGAGGCUAGGUGUGAAGGCUCCUGAGCCGUAAUGGCAAUGGAAGAUACUGAUAAUUGGCCUGAAAAUCCAGAUGAUGUCAUGUUCUUAAAAAGAUCUGACCCUCUUUUGUCUGAAGCUGCAGGAAAAAUGACUGCUUCUGUCAUUCAAACUGAAGAAUGUCAGGAAAUGUGGAGCCAGGUCGUCUAUCUUUUAUACAGUCAUUAGUUUAAAACUCUCCAGCUGUCAGCCGGAGUAAGUGUAGUUGACAGCAUAAGGCAGAGGCAUUACACCUAAAGAUAUUUUGUAUUUGUAUUUCUUGCUUCUAGCAGUGACUGGUUCUAGCUGAUUUUAGCUAGUAGGUUGUGUUAAGAGGCUUUGCAUUUUCUUGUUGAUUCGAUCAAUGGCCAGUGAGAAUUUAAAAAAUAUGUUGGUGUUUUAUUAAAAACUUAUAUAUAGAGAGAAUUGACUUGAUUUGUUUUACCUGUGUAACUUCCACUUUUUAAGAAUAAUAUCCUUUGUUCUUUUUUUGUACCUUUACUGUGCCCUCUGUUCCUUCUCAGGUCAUUUUGUGUGAAUUUCAGACCCUCAGCAACUUUAAAUAGAUAGACACAAAAGCCAUAAUCUUGAAGAGAGCAACAAGAAUGUGAUGCUUUGGGGGGUGGGAGUGUCCUUGACAGAGGUGUGUCACAGCAGCAUGUUGUACCGAUGCACACAACUGGGAGCCCCUAACUCAUUAAACUUGGGAAGUAUAAACCAAGACAGUGUACACACUCAUGAGUUAACAGGACCAAAACAUUUGUAUAGAAUAUUUAUCUAUUUUUCAGUCUGUCUGUUUAUCAUGUUUGCACAUGUUCCUGAAACACAAAAUCAAAAAUCAUUAAGGAACAUAUGUUUGAUAUAUACUGAAGGCAUGCCAAUGAAAUAAACUCAAUUUGACCAGAUUCUAUUAAAUUUAACAUUUUAAUAUUUUAUAUUGUCUUUACAUAAUAAAAUUAUAACUUGUACAGGAGCACCUUUGCACUUUACUAAAAACACUUUAACUAGCACUUUAUUUAGCAUCACACUUUAAGCAUAGAUUUGCACAUCAAUAACAUCUGUACACAAGAGGUUUCAUUAUUUAUUAAAUAUUUAUUGAGUAUUUUAAUAAUUAGCAGGUAGCCUUUUGUUCCAGGUCCUGUACAGCUGCUCCUCAUCAAGAAGUGUGGUAGUUUUCUGUGAGGAGGAAAGAAUUGUUACUGGGAGCAAAUAAGGUCUACUAUUAAGGGUGCUUGGGCAAAUGUUUCUCUGAGGGUCCAGACAACAUUUAAAGGUUCCGGGAGAGGCCAUGGGUUAAGGGAGUGUGGGGAAUCUCUGUGCACUGGGCUUUUGGUAAAAUGUAAAAUAUUUAAUCAUAUGAAAAUGGUACAAUGUAUGUAUAUAUUUAUUUAUUAAAAUGGUGUAUUGUAGAAUGUUGGUGGAAGGUUGGAAUUUGGAAAAACUCACCUGACAGUAAAAUAAUGGUUUAGUCCUUAACAGCUGAGAAGGCUGAUAAUUGUCAUUAAAUAGGAGAGUGACUGUUUGUGCUGUGAGAAGGCUUGACAUGCCGGUGACUGUCAUGGCCUUAAAGCUAUAUGUGGGCAAAUAAAUGCCUCUUGCUUCUGCCAUACUGUGUCUUGGUCUUCCUCACUGUAAAUCCAGCUGCAAACGGCUGCCCUGUUACAUUACCUGAUGCCAGCAUUUUGAGCCUGCAUAUUUUGAGUGUAGCCUAAUUUUAAAAGAAUCAGUUCAGUUCAGAAUUCUAUAAUAUAUAGUUUUAAUUUCAAAAAACAUGUUUAAAAGGUAUUGGCAUUGUGUUUUCAGCAGAAACAGGCGCUGGAUGCUCAGCACUAAAGGUGAGGCCAUGUUUGAGGGCAUGUACCUUCCUGCACUUUUUGCAGCCUUGUACAUAUUUAACUUUGAAUACCAGGAGGAGAUGGCAUCCACCUUUGAGUUCAUUCAAAUGUGAAGUUUGGAUUUUAACACCCUCAAAACCUUCCAUUUAGAUUCUGACUAAAGUAAAAAAUAUGUUCUGUUAGGAAAAGUGUUUUUCUUUUUCCAGGCACCUUGUAGGCAGUAAUCCAGAGAGAGGAUUGAAGGCCUCAUAGGAAAAAGGACCUUUAAACAUGCUAGCUGACUUUGCCAGUAAAUCCACGUGUCCACUCUACUGUGUAAACUAAUGGAUAAACAAAUACGUUUUUUUGAAAAGAAAAAGCAGUCACGUAAAUUAGUUUCAUUUUCCUUUGAAGAUAUUUAACAGUAAACGGUUACUGUGUCACAAAACAACAUUAAAAACAAAACCUAAAAACACCAAAUGCAUUUACCAGCUCUGUGCUCAUUAUCAAGUUAGUAGGAAGUAACUAUUUAACUGUAUCCAUAAGGCCUUUAAAUGUACGCAGCGUCCUUAUAUCUAACGUCUAGCUUCUUUCUCUAGAUUCAUUUUCACAGUCUAGAACGUUUGUUCACCCGACAGACAGGUAUGUACACUUGUCUGACAAAAAAAUCAGAUAUAAACUGGAUUCUGCUUCAGCUUCUCAGUGCAAAGAUUGCAAAAACUGUGUGAAUGCUGCUGGAGCUAAAGUUGGUUGGUGUCAUGUGUUCUGCCUCAUGCAUUCUUGAAGCUCCCUUAACUAAACCCGACAGUGUUUCCAGUAGUGGGAGAAUGUCUGAAGCAGACACACGUUGUGCUACACGUGACAAAAGAAAACUUCAGACAAUAUCCUGAACUGACUCUCCUGACAGUGGCCAAAAUUCCUGUGUGAAAAUGGUUUAACUCUGUAAUCUGUCUGUCUGUCAUGCUUCUAUCUCUCAAUCAUCCAUUUGUCUGUCUGUCAUAGAAAUAGUGAGACAGGGUUGAUUGCAAGACAGAAUAAAAAGGUAGAGAGACAUGACAGAGAGGCAGAAUGGAAAGUAAGCAAAAAGUUUAAUUUGCUGUUCACAGACAAAGAGCAAUGAAGCGCUAUACAACAAAAUAGACUAAAAUAAAUUUUUAAAAAUAGCAUGAAUCACAAGAAAAAUACAAUAAAGUACAGUUAAUAGCAGUAUAAAAAUAUUAAAAGCAAUUUAAGGCACAUAAUAGAAGAAUUAAAGUAAAUAGCAAUAAGACUCUCAAUAGAAGGCCUGUCUUUUUUUUAAGAUAUCAGAGAGAGCAAGCAGUAUAGUAUAAGAUACAUUAAAUACUCUAGAGUAUGUCUAUUUAGGGCUCAACGAUUUCUAAUUUUGGGAACCAUUAUAAAGAAUGUAAAAUAGAAGUAAUUUGAGCUUGCUUACUAGAAUGUGUCAAUAGUCAGAAGCCAUCAGCAAUUUAAAAAAAGUAAUUUAAAUGAAAGAAACAAGAAUGGGAAAUACAUUUUACAUCUGAGUCAAAGCUCAGAGAGGAAUCAAAUAUCCCCUCUGGGCUAAGUUCAACAUUCAAGAUUUCAAAUACUGAACUUAUUAGAUGGACAAAAGAACAUUUGGAACCAAAAUAAGAGUUUAUAAUGCUGAAGGACUCUUUAGUAGUAGUAGUAGUGUUUGAUAUAUGUUCAGCAAGAAUGUUGACACGCCUGAUUAUCAUAAUUCUGCCUACUUUUAACGGUAGAAAAUUAAAGUCCAAGGGAAAAUAUGCAUCAGAACCAGGUUGCUUAUAUAUUAUAAUACCAUACAAUAGGUGAAUUUCUAGAAUUUUGAUUAUAAUCAGCUUGAUGGACUAACUA